CAGGCCUAACACAUGCAAGUCGAGCGGUAACAGGGGUAGCUUGCUACCCGCUGACGAGCGGCGGACGGGUGAGUAAUGCAUAGGAAUCUACCCGAUAGUGGGGGAUAACCUGGGGAAACCCAGGCUAAUACCGCAUACGUCCUACGGGAGAAAGGGGGCUCCGGCUCCCGCUAUCGGGUGAGCCUAUGCCGGAUUAGCUGGUUGGUGAGGUAAUGGCUCACCAAGGCGACGAUCCGUAGCUGGUCUGAGAGGAUGAUCAGCCACAUCGGGACUGAGACACGGCCCGAACUCCUACGGGAGGCAGCAGUGGGGAAUAUUGGACAAUGGGGGCAACCCUGAUCCAGCCAUGCCGCGUGUGUGAAGAAGGCCCUCGGGUUGUAAAGCACUUUCAGUGAGGAAGAACGCCUGGCGGUUAAUACCCGCCAGGAAAGACAUCACUCACAGAAGAAGCACCGGCUAACUCCGUGCCAGCAGCCGCGGUAAUACGGAGGGUGCAAGCGUUAAUCGGAAUUACUGGGCGUAAAGCGCGCGUAGGUGGCUUGAUAGGCCGGUUGUGAAAGCCCCGGGCUCAACCUGGGAACGGCAUCCGGAACUGUCAAGCUAGAGUGCAGGAGAGGAAGGUAGAAUUCCCGGUGUAGCGGUGAAAUGCGUAGGGAUCGGGAGGAAUACCAGUGGCGAAGGCGGCCUUCUGGACUGACACUGACACUGAGGUGCGAAGGCGUGGGUAGCAAACAGGAUUAGAUACCCUGGUAGUCCACGCCGUAAACGAUGUCGACCAGCCGUUGGGUGCCUAGCGCACUUUGUGGCGAAGUUAACGCGAUAAGUCGACCGCCUGGGG
Molecule: ribosomal RNA, 838 nt
Filed under: uncultured bacterium
Lineage: Bacteria
Description: bacterial SSU rRNA
Rfam family: Bacterial small subunit ribosomal RNA
Source: RNAcentral